AUGCACUUUCUUCCCCGUCUUUCACUCUUCUUCCUCCUCUCUUCCGCAUCGUCGGCCGCACACCAUUUUCCCCCGCUCACUGCCCGCGCCAUCUUCCUUGCAAACGCAAAUGCGCUAGCCUUCAUGAUUCCGGGACCUGGAAUCAUACCAGCCAAUGGGUGGUGGUUUAUCGCUCGUUCAGCUGACGGUGGUCAUUUGAUGCUCAUUCGCACGUACCAAAUUGACCAAACCAUUACAUCAAACCACAUGCAGUACAAUGCCUGGGGCGUUCGUGACAUUGAUGGCUAUGGUUGCUUCAUAAUUAACCGAUGCAAGUCCAAGAAGGAUUGGCCGGUGCUGCCGGCUGGCGUCAAGUUCGAUCCCACGGAUCAGGAGCUGAUCGAGCACCUUGAGGCCAAAGUGAGUGCUGACAGCGCGAGAUCUCACCCUCUCAUCGAUUUGUUCAUACCAACCAUCGACGGCGAGCACGGCAUAUGCUACACCCAUCCUGAGAAACUUCCAGGUAUCACACUGAGUGGCCUAAGAAAGCAUUUCUUCCAGCGCAACUCCAGGACGUUCAAAAGGGGCACGUGGACGCGUCGCAAGAUACAGUCGGAGUGCGGCAUGCACGCGAUGUGGCACAAGACCGGCAAUACCUUGCUGGUGAUGGUCAACAGCCACCAGACGGGCAGCAAAAAGGUUCUGGUGCUGCACACCAACAAGAACUUUGACCAGCAAAGGACAAACUGGGUGAUGCACCAGUACCACCUCGGGGACCUGGAGCAAGAGAAGGAGCGGGAGCUGGUCCUCUGCAAGAUUUUCUACCAGACGAACGCUAGGGCCGGGACUAAAAAGAUUAUAAGUUAG
RNAcentral lists this ribosomal RNA (846 nucleotides) under Triticum aestivum (bread wheat). RNAcentral's name for it is "partial small subunit ribosomal RNA". Lineage: Eukaryota; Viridiplantae; Streptophyta; Magnoliopsida; Poales; Poaceae. The record is from RNAcentral.